AUGGCCCAAAGAAUGCUGUUCUCCCUGCUUUUGGCACUGACAAUUCUGUCUGGAGCCUCUAGCCAGAGCACAACAGUAGCCGCAACCACAACAGCCCCCGCAACCACCGCAGCCCCCGCAACAACCACAGCAGCCGCUACCACGACAGCGGCCGCAACCACGACAGCGGGCGCAACAACGACAGCGGGCGCAACAACGACAGCCGCCGCAACCACGACAGCCGCCGCAACCACGACAGCCGCCGCAACCACGACAGCGGCCGCAACCACGACAGCGGCCGCAACCACGACAGCCGCCGCAACCACGACAGCCGCCCCAACAACGACAGCCGCCGCAACCACGACAGCGGCCGCAACCACGACAGCCGCCGCAACCACGACAGCCGCCGCAACGACGACAGCGGCCGCUACGACGACAGCCGCCGCAACCACGACAGCCGCCGCAACCACGACAGCCGCCGCUACGACGACAGCCGCCGCAACCACGACAGCCGCCGCAACCACGACAGCGGCCGCAACGACGACAGCGGCCGCUACGACGACAGCCGCCGCAACCACGACAGCCGCCGCAACCACGACAGCCGCCGCAACGACGACAGCCGCCGCUACGACGACAGCGGCCGCAACCACGACAGCGGCCGCAACCACGACAGCGGCCGCAACCACGACAGCCGCCCCAACCACGACAGCGGCCGCAACAACGACAGCGGCCGCAACCACGACAGCCGCCGCAACCACGACAGCCGCCGCAACCACGACAGCCGUCCCAACCACAACAGCGGCCGCAACAACAACAGCGGCCGCAACCACGACAGCGGCCGCAACCACGACAGCCGCCGCAACGACGACAGCGGCCGCUACGACGACAGCCGCCGCAACCACAACAGCCGCCGCAACCACAACAGCCACCGCAACCACGACAGCGGCCGCUACGACGACAGCCGCCGCAACCACGACAGCAGCCGCAACCACAACAGCCGCCCCAACCACAACAGCGGCCGCAACAACAGCCGCCGCAACCACGACAGCGACCGCUACGACGACAGCCGCCGCAACGACGACAGCCGCCCCAACCACGACAGCCGCCGCAACCACGACAGCCGCCGCAACCACGACAGCCGCCGCAACGACGACAGCGGCCGCUACGACGACAGCCGCCGCAACCACAACAGCCGCCGCAACCACGACAGCGGCCGCAACCACGACAGCCGCCGCAACCACGACAGCGGCCGCUACAACGACAGCCGCCGCAACCACGACAGCCGCCGCAACAACAACAGCGGCCGCAACCACGACAGCGGCCGCAACCACGACAGCCGUCGCAACCACGACAGCCGCCGCAACCACAACAGCCGCCGGAACAACAACAGCCGCCGCCACCACGACAGCGGCCGCAACCACGUCAGCGGCCGCAACCACGACAGCCGUCGCAACCACAACAGCCGCCGCAACAACAACAGCCGCCCCAACCACAACAGCGGCCGCAACAACAACAGCCGCCGCAACCACGACAGCCGCCGCAACCACGACAGCCGCCGCAACGACGACAGCCGCCGCUACGACGACAGCCGCCGCUACGACGACAGCCACCGCAACCACGACAGCCGCCGCAACCACGACAGCCGCCGCAACCACAACAGCCGCCGCAACCACGACAGCAGCCGCAACAACGACAGCCGCCGCAACAACGACAGCCGCCGCAACCACGACAGUGGCCGAAACCACGACAGCGGCCGCAACAACAACAGCCGCCGCAACCACAACAGCCGCCGUAACCACAUCAGCAGCCGCCACAACGGCAGCCGCAACCACAACAGCCAGCGCAACAACAACAGCAGCCGCAACCACAGCAGCAGCAACGACGACAGCGGCCGCUACGACGACAGCCGCCGCAACGACGACAGCCGCCGCAACUACGACAGCCGCCGCAACAACAACAGCCGCCCCAACCACAACAGCGGCCGCAACAACAACAGCCGCCGCAACCACAACAGCCACAGCAACCACGACAACGGCCGCAACCACCUCAGCCGCCGCAACGACGACAGCCGCCGCUACGACGACAGCCGCCGCAACCACAACAGCCGCCGCAACCACAACAGCCGCCCCAACCACAACAGCAGCCGCAACAACCACAACAGCGGCCGCAACAACAACAGCGGCCGCAACCACGACAGCGGCCGCAACCACGACAGUCGCCGCAACGACGACAGCCGCCGCAACCACAACAGCAGCUGCAACAACAGCCGCCGCAACCACAACAGCCACCGCAACCACAACAGCAGCCGCAACCACAACAGCCGGCGCAACAACAACAGCAGCCGCAACCACAGCAGCAGCAACAACCACAGCAGGAGCAACCACAACAGCUGCCGCAACCACAACAGCCGCCGCAACCACAACAGCCGCCGCAACCACAACAGCCGCCUCAACCACAACAGCCGCAAGCACAAUGGCCGCUGCAACAACAACAGCCGCCGCAACCACAACGGCCGCCGCAACCACAACAGCCACCGCAACCACAGCAGCCGCAACCACAACAGCCGGCGCAACAACAACAGCAGCCGCAACCACAGCAGCAGCAACAACCACAGCAGGAGCAACCACAACAGCUGCCGCAACCACAACAGCCGCCGCAACCACAACAGCCGCCGCAACCACAACAGCCGCCUCAACCACAACAGCCGCAAGCACAAUGGCCGCUGCAACAACAACAGCCGCCGCAACCACAACGGCCGCCGCAACCACAACGGCCGCCGCAACCACAACAGCCGCCGCAACCACAGCAGCCGCAACCACAACAGCCGCCGCAACCACAACAGCCGCCGCAACCACAACAGCCGCCGCAACCACUGCAGCCGCAACCACAACAGCAGGAGCAACCACAACAGCAGCCGCAACCACAACAGCAGCCGCAACCACAGCCGCCGCAACCACAACAGUCGCCGCAACCACAACAGCCGCCGCAACCACAACAGCCCCCGCAACAACCACAGCCCCCGCAACCACAACGGCCGCCACAACCACAGCAGCCGCAACCACAACAGCAGCCGCAACCACGGCAGCCGCAACAACCACAGCCCCCGCAACCACAACAGCAGCUGCAACCACAGCAGCCGCAACCACAACAGCAGGCGCAACAACAACAGCCGCCGCAGCCACAACGAUUCCACCAGUACUGAUACCCAACAGUAUCGUAGGAGGUCUACCGGUAAGUGUUUCACCUAAAUAA
Long non-coding RNA from Gadus morhua (Atlantic cod), 3231 nucleotides. The record is from Ensembl. NCBI's taxonomy places the organism in Eukaryota, Metazoa, Chordata, Actinopteri, Gadiformes, Gadidae.